Long non-coding RNA from Pipistrellus kuhlii (Kuhl's pipistrelle), 362 nucleotides. RefSeq lists it as uncharacterized. The record is from RefSeq and is a predicted model, not a curated record. The transcript is spliced from 2 exons. NCBI's taxonomy places the organism in Eukaryota, Metazoa, Chordata, Mammalia, Chiroptera, Vespertilionidae.
GAGGUAACAGUGGAUGUGUUUGUGUGAAUGAUCAAGUAAAGAAAAUUAAGUAGAGAAUCAAGUAGAAAGAUCUAUAGGAGGUGAAAGGAAAAAAAAAUGCAGAAGGAGACUGGUCUAAACAUGUUCCUUAAUCCUCACACCCCACCAUCUCAUUUGACUGUCUGAAUGGGAGGAAGUCUGCUUAUUCAUUUGAAGCACUGGGACCUGGACACACCAGAGACUCUAUAGAGUGACUCUAUGUGCCUGGUAAAGGGAGAUGGGAGGAGCAGGGAAAAAUCAAAAUGCCAUAUGUUCAGCUCCAAAUGCUUUCUUAUUCAUAUCUUAUUCAAACUAAGUCAUUUUAAAACAUUCAUAGGGAACUA